AUUAGGGUCUUUCGAAACAUACAGUAUAACUGAACUUUGCUCCGAACCGUUUUUCGUUAGCGAUGGCUUAUAUUUAGAUACAGAUAUAAAUUAAAUAACGUUAAAUGUACAGCCUUUCUAACUUCCCACCUAUAACAGUGGCACACCUGUCUCCAAUAUCAGCUUUUUUUUUUUUUUUUUUUUUUUGAGUGGUUUUAACACGUGUUUUUUUAGAUGAACUGAAAUGAUACAAUUUUGGGUGAACUUCAAUAUACAUUUCACCAUGUUGAGGGGAACAGGGUUUUUUUUUAACUUUGUACACCAAUGUAAACCUCCAAAUGGAGUCAGAAGAUUGUCAUUUUUUAAUUGGAUGGUGUAAGUAUCUAGUUCAACAUUUAGGGAUUUUCACUUUUAACCUCCAUUCCAACCAUUUUUGUACUCACAUUUCAUGUUUUACAAAUACCCCUAUAGACGUAUCAAGUAACGAGUUAAAUAUAAAAACCAUUAUGGUCGAGGCGCCUUAAGUAGGUUUCAACUUCUAACCCAUAUUCUCACUGUCUGUUUGUAUGUUAGCAAAAAAAGAACCUAUCAAUAAACUUUACAUAUUUUGAUAAAACAUGUUUUGUUCGAUUUUUAUCUAAAGGUAAUAAUAUACACUUUGUAUCUGAAAUAAGGAAGGGGUAUUGAUAAUUAUAAAGCGCAGGCGUACGUGGUAGAUGUCGUCAACAGAAUACAGUCUAGUGAAUACAAAUAAAAUAUAAAAUAUUGUGACGGUAAUAAAUCGGCUGGUGGAAAAUUCGACUCUAGUGACAGUGCUACUCAUAGGUGUUUUUUUUUUUUAAAUAGAUGUCCGAUUUUUACAACUUUUUUUAAUACGUAAGCUAGGGAAAUAAUAAAUUAUACUUCCGGUGACAAUAAUAAAAUAAUAUAACAUACUAAUAUUCUUCACACGAUGACACGCACGCACACUCACGUAUAUAUUAUAUCGCGUCGUCUUAUUAAAAUUUGCAGUCGUAAUUUACAACGAAUAAAAUGACUUCCAC
Non-coding RNA from Cinara cedri, 1022 nucleotides. Lineage: Eukaryota; Metazoa; Arthropoda; Insecta; Hemiptera; Aphididae. The record is from the annotation of a GenBank genome assembly.